AAAUCGGCUGCGUUGCCUGGGGACUCGCCUUUGCUCAGCGCUUCACAGUGGAGAGGUGACGGUAGUUUUCCUUGAGGCUUCAUUUGGCUGCUGGCUGGGCUUUCUGCCUUUGGCUCAGAGGGGCUCAGAAGUUGAAUAUACCUGUGCUGAGUGCUCGGAUCAGAAUCGGAUGGAUGCAUCAUCGACGGCCCACUAACCCUUGCCGGCGAAAAGGUCUGUCUGGAGCAGGGGCACAUGCUGGGGGGAAAGGAAAGGAGAUAUCGUGGGAGGGGGGGCUUUUGAAUUUGUUUUGGAGGCUCCUUCGAUUGACUUAUGGGGAAAAAGAAAGGAGCUGGUUGACUAAAAUGGUGGGUGACUGGCGAUCUCGUGGCGAGGGGGGGAGGCUGUGUGUGUGUGUGGCUAGUUAAUGCAAGCUGAGGGGGGGGUUGAAUGCUGGAUGCCAUUUUGUUGCACGUGCUGCUGCAAACUUUGCAGUGCAAAGCCAGGCCAGGGAGCCAUCUUAAGUUGAGGCUGCAUAGGCCUUGUGGUGCAUGUGAUUCAGAUUCUAUUCAGUUGAACCUCUCAUUACAAAGUUGGUUGGACAGUGUUCUCGUAGCUACCAAUAUGAGUUUGACCAGACUGCAGGAAGACAGGAAGACUGGAGUGCCUGGAACAGGUGAGGCUGCAGGUCCCUUAUUUUGGCUGCUGAUCCCUUAUUUUCAAAUCGGUAAGUUGACAGCUAUGGUGAGAAUGUGUCAGGCUUCGGGGAAUCUGGUAAGAAUGAAAGGAGUGUCCUUACCAGUUAGUUUCUUUAAUAAUCACAGUGAGAGACAAAGGAAUGCAUAACUCUCUAGAAAUGGCAUUGCUUCCAGUAAAGGCUCACCCUUUUCGUCCUCAUUAAUCUACGUCACUCCUACAUCGGGUAAUCUGAGCUUGUUGCUGCUGAGCUUUGAGAGUUCUAUCACUCUCAAAGCCCAUCUAGUUUUAGGCAAAGCGGGAGGGGUCAGGAAUGCUGUCCAAGGACACUGAAUCUGCCAGCAGUCUCUCUCCUGGUGUUUCCUCUUCUAGCUGUUCCUCACCCAGUAUCUCCCAGCUUUUCACCUCUGGACUAUGCCCUUAUGCAAACCACUGUUCUAAAUCAAUACUGUCCUCCUGCCCUUGGGAAGGUUCAGGAGAAGGGGAGGGCAGCUCCCACCAUUCCUCCUCAUUCCAGCCCCUGACAGAACUAGGCGUGUGAGUGCACAUGAUUGCAGCUCCCAAAAUGGCCACCGUGAUCUUGCUCGAAAAACAUGAAUGUCCCAUUUUUUCCCAGGGCACUUGGCAUAUAUGAAAACAUAGGAAGCUUCCUUAUACUGAGUCAGACCAGAGGCCCUUCUAGCUAUAGCAGUGGAGGCAGAACAUAGCCAUAUGGCUUGUAAUCAUUGAUAGCCUUGUCAUCCAGGAAUUGGUCUAAACAUCUUUUAAAGUUGGCGUCUGCUAGUAAAGUUCUGACUGUAGGAUUGGUUCUCGGCCACUUCCCUGCCCCUGCAACCCUUUCCGCUGGGACAUGGUAUCCAGCCCUCAUUGGUCCCAGCUGGCCUUCAUUCUGCAGAAGAUGGCACUGGCUGACUGGCAAGUAGGGCAAGCUGCAGACAUCUCCUGCAGAGAGGGAUGGAUUGACCCUUCUCUGCCCAGAAGGGAUUCUUAGCUCCACACACACACAUAAACCCUGUAACAUUUUUCGCAUCCUGCUGUUCUAAAUGAAUCACAGCCAGCUUCAGGUCAUAUCGUCUCCUGUUUACUGAGUUAGACAUGGUGGAGAAACUCUUCAGACGAAGUGGGGUCCAUUUGUAAAUGUUAACUGAAAUGGCAAGUCACAGGGCCGAGCUGUAGACAUAAAGCUCCUAAUGUAACGCGGCUGUUUUAAAGAUUUCUAAACAUAAAUGCCUUGUGCCUGAUGGAUAAUCAGCUAAUUAAAAACACGUUCCAGUUACUAAAUUGUUAGAUUAUGAGCCUAAAGGGACAGGAAUCUUUCUCUUUUGUUUUUCAAUAAAAUUGCUGUUAUGCAGCCUGAGCCUUUGGGAUAGACCAGCUAUAAAGCGGAACAAAUGAGUGAAUAAUAAAUUCUAUAAGGUUGCCAGCAGCCACUGCGGUUUUGUUUCCAUUGACCUGAUCUUGAUAAUAUCUUCAGCUUCUAAAUAAUGGGCAGCUGCUUCCCUGCCACCAUGAAUAAAAGAGAGAUGGAGCAGGAGCAGUCAACUGCCAACUUCUUCCCUUCACCUUGGAACUGGCAAAGAGAUUGCUUUCAGGGGUAGCCAACAUGGUGCCUUCCACAUCUUGUUGCACUACAACUCCCAUCUUCCUGAGACCAUUGACCAUGUGGUCUGAGGAUGAUGGGAGUUGCAGGUCAAAACAUCUGGAAGGCCCCAUCAUAAGCACACUUCCUGGGGAGCGUCUCGUUGAACUCAGUGGAUUGUGUAAACAUAGGCAGGAUAGAGUUAUAUGUCCAUUGGGUUUCAGUGGUAACAUGUUUAGCUAUUAGGACAAAGAUGUCAUGGAGGGGAGUAACGGUGUUCCCUACUAGUAUAUACUCAGGUUGCUGUUGCUAUCAGGCAGACUUAUAAAGAGAUGCUGAACUUAUAGAAAUGGCAAGUAGUCAUUAUGGUCCAUGACAGGGGAGGAGGAAAUUCCAAAUAAACAUUAGGGUGUUGUAUUGUCUUGAUUAGGAGCUGGGCCAACUAAAAUGUCAGAAGGUAGCAAGUUCUAUUUCAAGGAACAAAUUUAUUUAUGGGCUAGUCAAUGGUUCUGCACUACUGGAGCUUUUAAGGUUACAAAGCCGUUCCACAAUUGGCCAGAGUGCAUUCAUGUUUUCUUAAGAGAUUUCUGAACCGAACUUUCUUUUUAAGUUAACCUGGACUGGAGAUACUAUCUCGGUCUUGUUAAUGACAUCCUUGUAAACCCUUUAAAGAUGAUUGAAGCUAAUCAGGAUGUAAACCAUUUAAGUAAAACAAAUAAAUAAUGCAUGUGUUGAACCAUGCUCCCAACUCGUAAAAGAAAUGAAGUCAAGGCAUGAAGGAACCCCAUAUCUUCACAAAUAUCUGUCUGAAGAGAUGGAUGUCAGUUCCUUCUAAAUGAGUUCACUUAAGAGACGUCACCCCCAAUGUGCUAAUUUGUUGGUGGUGAUGGUAACAGUAUUUGUUUGAUUUCUUAUUUGCCCUUCACCCAGGGUGGAUUAUAAUCAUUUAAAAUUUAAAAAUGCAAUAUUGAAAUCAGUUAGAACAAAUGAUCAUCAAGAGAACAGGAUGGGGCCUAAAAAAAUUCUUUCAGGUGUCAAACAUCAGGGUAAAAUGCUGUGUCUUUGGCACAUGACAGAAAUGACAUAAUUAAGAUGAGGAAGAAAAUCCACAAUUUAGGGCUGUCAUGGAGAAUUUGUCAUGCACACAUACACCCACCAAACUUCUGAGGUUGGUGGAACUACCAAGAAGGCUACCUCUACCAAUCUUAACACCCAACUGAGCCAGUAAGGAUGGAGGUGGCUUUCAGAUAUUUAGGGCUUUAAACACUACUGUGAGCUCCUUAAAUUAGGCCUGAAAACAAACUGGCAACCAGGACAGCUGUUUUAAACAAAGGGUUAUGUGAAUUCUACAUGGAUACCAGCCAACAAUCUGGGUGCUCAUUUUGGACCUGCUGACAUUUCCAAACCAGCAUGUUGCAGUGAUUUAGAGUAUCAGACUAGGACCAGGGAGAUCUGUGUUCAAAUUCCCACUCAACCAUGAAGAUCAAUGUGAGAUCUUGGUCUGUCACUAGCUCAAGUCAACCUCACAAGAAGAAGGGGGGGAAUGGGGUGCAGGGAAACAUCCUGAAUUCUUUGGAGCCCUCAGAAAUAUGACUGGGUGCCUGCCUUCUGAAAUGUUUAAUUCCAUAAUUCCACCAUCAUAGAAUGGAGCAUAAAGCAUAGCCUGAGAGGGCUGUGUUUGUGUUUGUGUGGUUAUCCCAAUUAAUUCUUUUGUAACCAAAUUCCAGUGCUACCACAAAAGGGUUAUUCAACACUCCAUUUAAAUGCAUUUUUUAAAAAGUUAUAUUCCAGCUCAGAUGUAGCAUCUUUUUGAGCAUCGAGGUGCCUUUGAAAAUUAAACACACACAAGAUAUUUCAGCAAAGAAGAGAGGUAUUGUGCAUUUAGCAUCCAUGAUGACAGAAAGCACAGUUCAAGCCACAUAGAUGAAGAACAAUGGAGAAACGUUGGGAACAGGAAAUAUCUGCUGUACACAUUAGCCUCACUCUUGCUGCAGUAGAUGGUCCAGGUGGGGUCAUGUAUUGACCAGGAAGGAGCUGUAGGCAUUGUUGAAGAGAAUAGGCAAAUCCCAAAGCAUUCAUUCUCCAAUACGCAGCUGUGAUGUACAAGACAAACAAGCACAAAAUUGGGCCAGUAACAAAGGCACACAAUAGAAAUCAAAGGGCAAUCCAUGUAUGGUGGCUUCUAAGAAUAAUACUCUUUAUUCUUCCUUCCUUUUUUCUUUUUUUACUUAAUAUAUUCUAUGCCGUCGGAUUUUAUGUGAUUUUCGCUCUCUCAAAGGUUUGCAAUGCCUAUACAAAAACCAGAAGUGUACUGAGGCUUCAAAGAUAUUUGCACAAAAUAUUGCUUUUAGUAACCUCUAGGAGGUGGAGGAGGAAAGAGACCGGACCUGGGUCUGGUGUUAUUUUAAAACUAUACCAUUUGCUGAGCACCUCAUUAGUCUGCCUGCCAGCCAGGCAGGCAGCCACAGCAGCUAAAGGGAACAUCCAGAUUCCGUAGGGCAUGCGUCUUUCAAUCUCAGCUGCUAGGGGCAAUAAAUGCUCUCCUUUGAGUCCAGCUUGUGGUCUCUCUCUUCUGACUGGACCAUGCUAGCAGGAGAUCAGCAGCUCAGAUGCCCUCUUUCCCUGAUCCAGCAGGGUUCUUGUUGCAUUCUUCUGCCUGCUUCAGGAAAAGAGGGAAUAAAGGGGAGGGGGGAGGAUUUUCAUCACCACAAUUCCCAGCACAAGUUGACUUUUCGGUUUAUUGAUUUCCUGCCGUUGUUCUCAUUCUGUCCUUCAUUGAUUCAUAACAUUUCUCGCAGCCCAACUCAUUGUGUGUUUACUCAGGAGUCCCACGGACUUCAAAAGGGCUUACUCUCAAGUAAGAGCUAGGAAGGUGGGGGCGGGGACUGAAUUCAUAUUUUAAUGCAAACCUGCCUAAUCUGCACUUUCCAAGACAAUAUGUCAAGGGAAACAGAGCUGUCCUUUGAAAGUUGCACUUCUCCAAAGGUGGUGAUGCAGCUCUCUGGGAAACUAAUGCAUACAGAUAAUGUAUAUUAGGGUUAAAUGUACUUUAAAAUGCAUGUGUUACUGGUAGGAACUUAAAAUAGGCACUCCACUAGGGGAAAUUGCUUGCAAAAAAUUGUGGAUCAGGUAAAAUUCCAUACAAAAAGUAGAGUAUUGGCCCAAAUGCUGAUGAAUGUUAUUGAUUAUUAUUAUUUCUUAAGGUUCUCAAGUUCAUGCAGAAAUGUGGAGAAAUGAAUGAAAGAUUGGGAAAAUGAGAAACCAAAAUUGACAAAUGUGUCAUCCCUAAUACCAGUGCAAUGAUGUACUCAGAGGUAAGCUUUGUGGAACUUUCUCCCAGGCAAGUGAGUAUAGGAUUGCAGCCAAAGGGCACAUAGGAUUGCAUUGCUAGUCAGCUUUUUAUUUUUUAAGUGCUCGGAGCCAUGAAAUAAAAACAUAGCAAUAAUAAAAUAAAAACCAGCAUAAUAAAACAGCAGAUCCGACUUUAUUAAAAUAACAGAGAAAAAUUUCGCUUCAAAAAAUACUGAAAUAAAUUCCAAAGGGGUUUUAGUGAGGAAGACCUCACUAGACUCCACCACAGUCUAUUGAUGCUCAUGAGCCAAUUGUGUUGAUGCUCAAUGGAACUGAUAGGGCAGAAGGAAGGGAGACCAAAAGUAGGUGAAGCCAGAACCAAUGACAGACAGAGCCAACUACUUCUAGUUUUGUCCCCUUUCUCUUCUUCCUCUACAAGGGCAACACCAAGACUAGGGGCUCCCUCUGAGUCUGACAUCAUUCACAAAUAUCUGCGACAAUUUUACUGAUGCCAACACAGUUACUCAUGAUUUAACAUAAGCGCAAGUGAUUGUCUCCCAUCCUUAACCCAGCAUCUGCAGGUCAUAAAGC
This 6136-nucleotide long non-coding RNA is filed under the name Podarcis lilfordi (Lilford's wall lizard). Lineage: Eukaryota; Metazoa; Chordata; Lepidosauria; Squamata; Lacertidae. The record is from RNAcentral.